AUUAGAUACCCUGGUAGUCCACGCCGUAAACGGUGGGUGCUAGUUGUGGGCCACAUUCCACGUGGUCCGUGACGAAGUUAACACAUUAAGCACCCCGCCUGGGGAGUACGGUCGCAAGACUAAAACUCAAAGGAAUUGACGGGGGCCCGCACAAGCGGCGGAGCAUGCGGAUUAAUUCGAUGCAACGCGAAGAACCUUACCAAGGCUUGACAUAUAGAGGAAACGUGCAGAAAUGUACGCCCCGCAAGGUCUCUAUACAGGUGGUGCAUGGUUGUCGUCAGCUCGUGUCGUGAGAUGUUGGGUUAAGUCCCGCAACGAGCGCAACCCUCGUCCUAUGUUGCCAGCACGUAAUGGUGGGAACUCAUGGGAGACUGCCGGGGUCAACUCGGAGGAAGGUGGGGAUGACGUCAAAUCAUCAUGCCCCUUAUGUCUUGGGCUUCACGCAUGCUACAAUGGCCAGUACAAAGGGCUGCAAUACCGUAAGGUGGAGCGAAUCCCAAAAAGCUGGUCUCAGUUCGGAUUGAGGUCUGCAACUCGACCCCAUGAAGUCGGAGUUGCUAGUAAUCGUAGAUCAGCAACGCUACGGUGAAUACGUUCCCGGGGCUUGUACACACCGCCCGUCACAUCACGAAAGUCGGUAACACCCAAAGUCAGUGGCCCAACCGCAAGGAGGGAGCUGCCAAAGGUGGGAUCGGUGAUUGGGAUGAAGUCGUAACAAGGUAUC
This 724-nucleotide ribosomal RNA is filed under the name uncultured Actinomycetes bacterium. RNAcentral's name for it is "bacterial SSU rRNA". It matches the Rfam family "Bacterial small subunit ribosomal RNA", at positions 777 to 1500 of the family's 1533-position model. The record is from RNAcentral. Lineage: Bacteria; Bacillati; Actinomycetota; Actinomycetes.